Lynx canadensis (Canada lynx) is the source of this 1541-nucleotide long non-coding RNA. RefSeq lists it as uncharacterized. The record is from RefSeq and is a predicted model, not a curated record. Lineage: Eukaryota; Metazoa; Chordata; Mammalia; Carnivora; Felidae. The transcript has 4 exons.
AUGCCUCCGAAAGGGGCCGGGCAGCGUCCUGUACGCAGCCAGCCCACCCCCCAACUCUUAAAGGGAUACACAAAACAAAGGCCUUGGCCUUAGGCAAUGAAUACAAGUUUUGUUUUGGGGAAGAUUGUUUAUUUUAUGUACUAUUUUCUCUCUUCGUCUGUCUUCUUGACUAGCGAAGGAUUAAAUUGGAUCGCCUGAGGCUUCAAGUUUGCAGACUGCGCAGUGCCUGGGAAUCAACUGAGCAUAAAAUACGUUUAGUAGGAGAAAACAUUUUAAAGCCAUGGGGUGUGUUUAGGUAAGAAAGGAAGGAGGGAGCACAGUGGACGUACAGCAUUAGGAAUGUUUUUUACAGAGAUUUAGAAAGACGAAGAAUAAAAAUACAAGUCCUGGCAUCUGAAUCAUUAACAACCUCAACAACCCAUUUGUCGUUCUGGGAUGCUAAAAUGUAGUAUGUGUCAAAUUCCAAAUAAAUCAAACUAUUUUUAACUAGUUAAAAAGAGGAGGGUAAGGGGAGGAAUAACUUGGGUGCCUCUUCAAAACGCAGAUUCUCGGACUUUACCUGUAUUUACAGAAUGAAAAUCUGCGGUAAUAUAAAACCAGGGACUCUACAUUUUAGUGGAUUUAACAGGAGUCAAAACCCCACCGACCACCUUUGAGAAGCAUCACAUUAGGAACUGCCCCGUCAGGCUACGCCAGCCUGGCCUCCGUAACCAUCGUAAAUUAAGGACGAAACCAAGAGACAGAGUAAUGUCUGGACCUUCCACCACCUGUAUGACUUCUUAAAAGUAACAAAUCAAAAACAACAGCUCUAAGUGUUGAGAACGACCUCUCAGGCAACUGGUUUCCUUCCUAGCUCAAAACAGCAAAAUGCCUAUCAGUUGGAAUGCCUGCGAAAUUUACUCAGGAAAAAAACCCGCCAUAGACCCUGUAGGGUUCGCCAACAUUUCACCGCUCCAAUCCGAGUGUUCUUAUUCAGACAUACACGAUACCAAAACUGAAAAGUCGCUCAGAAGUGUGACCGAUGCUUGGAUUUUUCUUAAAAGGGCUUCUUUUCAUAAUCCCUUUAGUUUACUUUAGAGCCAAAGACUAAGCAGCCUUUUGAAAAAGUUUUUCUUUGUCUGAGCCCCGUGAAUUUCCUUUCUGCCCAACCCCCCAACAAGAACUCAUUUCUUUAUUCGUGUUAACAGUCUUUUUUUUUUUUUUUUUUUUUUGGAACGGUGGGGGAAGAGAACCUGAGGCCCCUCGUUUUCGGAGUUUUAUUUUUAUGCAAGCUGCUACCCUUAAUCAGUUUAGCAUUAUUCAGACAGUCCUUGAGAGGACUGUCCCAGCAUUAAACAUUCAUAAUCUGCAGACAAAGAGAAAGAGCAGCCUUGUGUAGAGUUAGGAACAAGAGUUUUCUCACCUACUUUUGAGAACCUGGUCUGAUAGCUCCCAGAUCCUGGAUCCGCUUAUCCUGAGCACCACGUUCCUGCACGAGAACACGAAUCUGGACGGAAACAAGAGAGAGACAGAGCAUGAACGGGGGAGGGGCAGAGAGAGAG